CCUACGGGAGGCAGCAGUGGGGAAUAUUGCACAAUGGGCGAAAGCCUGAUGCAGCAACGCCGCGUGAGGGAUGACGGCCUUCGGGUUGAAACCUCUUUUAGUUGGGAAGCGGUACCAGCAGAAAAAGCACCGGCUAACUACGUGCCAGCAGCCGCGGUAAUACGUAGGGUGCAAGCGUUGUCCGGAAUUAUUGGGCGUAAAGAGCUCGUAGGCGGUUUGUCGCGUCUGCUGUGAAAUCUGGGGGCUCAACCCCCAGCCUGCAGUGGGUACGGGCAGACUAGAGUGCGGUAGGGGAGAUUGGAAUUCCUGGUGUAGCGGUGGAAUGCGCAGAUAUCAGGAGGAACACCGAUGGCGAAGGCAGAUCUCUGGGCCGUACUGACGCUGAGGAGCGAAAGCAUGGGGAGCGAACAGGAUUAGAUACCCUUGUAGUC
This 431-nucleotide ribosomal RNA is filed under the name uncultured bacterium. Its description in RNAcentral is "partial 16S ribosomal RNA". It matches the Rfam family "Bacterial small subunit ribosomal RNA", at positions 338 to 795 of the family's 1533-position model. The record is from RNAcentral.